RNAcentral lists this ribosomal RNA (1337 nucleotides) under Lactiplantibacillus pentosus. RNAcentral's name for it is "bacterial SSU rRNA". It matches the Rfam family "Bacterial small subunit ribosomal RNA", at positions 89 to 1413 of the family's 1533-position model. Lineage: Bacteria; Bacillati; Bacillota; Bacilli; Lactobacillales; Lactobacillaceae. The record is from RNAcentral.
GAGUGAGUGGCGAACUGGUGAGUAACACGUGGGAAACCUGCCCAGAAGCGGGGGAUAACACCUGGAAACAGAUGCUAAUACCGCAUAACAACUUGGACCGCAUGGUCCGAGUUUGAAAGAUGGCUUCGGCUAUCACUUUUGGAUGGUCCCGCGGCGUAUUAGCUAGAUGGUGGGGUAACGGCUCACCAUGGCAAUGAUACGUAGCCGACCUGAGAGGGUAAUCGGCCACAUUGGGACUGAGACACGGCCCAAACUCCUACGGGAGGCAGCAGUAGGGAAUCUUCCACAAUGGACGAAAGUCUGAUGGAGCAACGCCGCGUGAGUGAAGAAGGGUUUCGGCUCGUAAAACUCUGUUGUUAAAGAAGAACAUAUCUGAGAGUAACUGUUCAGGUAUUGACGGUAUUUAACCAGAAAGCCACGGCUAACUACGUGCCAGCAGCCGCGGUAAUACGUAGGUGGCAAGCGUUGUCCGGAUUUAUUGGGCGUAAAGCGAGCGCAGGCGGUUUUUUAAGUCUGAUGUGAAAGCCUUCGGCUCAACCGAAGAAGUGCAUCGGAAACUGGGAAACUUGAGUGCAGAAGAGGACAGUGGAACUCCAUGUGUAGCGGUGAAAUGCGUAGAUAUAUGGAAGAACACCAGUGGCGAAGGCGGCUGUCUGGUCUGUAACUGACGCUGAGGCUCGAAAGUAUGGGUAGCAAACAGGAUUAGAUACCCUGGUAGUCCAUACCGUAAACGAUGAAUGCUAAGUGUUGGAGGGUUUCCGCCCUUCAGUGCUGCAGCUAACGCAUUAAGCAUUCCGCCUGGGGAGUACGGCCGCAAGGCUGAAACUCAAAGGAAUUGACGGGGGCCCGCACAAGCGGUGGAGCAUGUGGUUUAAUUCGAAGCUACGCGAAGAACCUUACCAGGUCUUGACAUACUAUGCAAAUCUAAGAGAUUAGACGUUCCCUUCGGGGACAUGGAUACAGGUGGUGCAUGGUUGUCGUCAGCUCGUGUCGUGAGAUGUUGGGUUAAGUCCCGCAACGAGCGCAACCCUUAUUAUCAGUUGCCAGCAUUAAGUUGGGCACUCUGGUGAGACUGCCGGUGACAAACCGGAGGAAGGUGGGGAUGACGUCAAAUCAUCAUGCCCCUUAUGACCUGGGCUACACACGUGCUACAAUGGAUGGUACAACGAGUUGCGAACUCGCGAGAGUAAGCUAAUCUCUUAAAGCCAUUCUCAGUUCGGAUUGUAGGCUGCAACUCGCCUACAUGAAGUCGGAAUCGCUAGUAAUCGCGGAUCAGCAUGCCGCGGUGAAUACGUUCCCGGGCCUUGUACACACCGCCCGUCACACCAUGUAGAGUU